AAUUCCAGCACGAAAUGUUCUCUCGACUGUGCUACCAUUCACAUAGUUCCUGAUCUUAGUUCUCACAAAUGCCGCACCUUUUCCUGGUUUAACA
This 94-nucleotide small RNA is filed under the name Arabidopsis thaliana (thale cress). RNAcentral describes it as "ATSL134490". Lineage: Eukaryota; Viridiplantae; Streptophyta; Magnoliopsida; Brassicales; Brassicaceae. The record is from RNAcentral.